This is a Y RNA of Callithrix jacchus (white-tufted-ear marmoset), 96 nucleotides long. It matches the Rfam family "Y RNA". Rfam says of the family: Y RNAs are components of the Ro ribonucleoprotein particle (Ro RNP), in association with Ro60 and La proteins. The Y RNAs and Ro60 and La proteins are well conserved, but the function of the Ro RNP is not known. Lineage: Eukaryota; Metazoa; Chordata; Mammalia; Primates; Cebidae. The record is from Ensembl.
GGCUGGUCCGAGUGCAGUGGUGUUUACAACUAAUUGAUCACAACCAGAUUUCUUUGUUCCUUCUCCACUCCCACUGCUUCAUUUGACUAGCCUAAA